GGCGACUGACCGGGAAGAGCCCAGCGCAUAACCACGUGUCCUAACCCGGCACGAGGGGUGUUGCGUUUCGGAGGGUCCAGCACGCCGUGCCAUACCGUCUAAGUCGAACAUGAAGGAGGCCACUACCCAGGGAGGGUGAGAGGCCCGUGUGGCGGCGCCCGUGAGGGUAGAGAUGGCGGCGGUCGGAAAGGGCCUCUCCGUAGAGUCGGGUUGCUUGAUAGUGCAGCCCAAAGCAGGUGGUAAACUCCAUCUAAGGCUAAAUAUGACCACGAGACCGAUAGCGAACAAGUACCGUGAGGGAAAGUUGAAAAGAACUUUGAAGAGAGAGUUCAAGAGUACGUGAAACCGUUAAGAGCCAAACGGAUGGAACCUCGAAGGUCGAAUCGAGGGCAUUCAGCUCGUCGGCAGGCGCUGCUGGGGGUGGAGUUAUCGUUAAGUCGGAGCGAACCAAGAGAGCUUGGGACGCGCUCACCCCCACGCGGGCGUCGGCGAGCGUAUUUCCCUCGUAGUAGGGCGCCGCGACCCGUUGGUGGGGACGUCGAAGGCCCCGUGCGGACUGGUACCCCGCCUCCGACCGGCCCCUCGUGGCCGUGGGAAGAGGCGGGCGAAACCGCCGGGGAUCCUGGCGGCCCUGCGACGGUCGUAGAGACGAGACGGCGGGGCCCGUAGGGGCUCCUCCGGCUCUCGCGGCGUGCAAACAGUCCGGUGACCCAUCCGACCCGUCUUGAAACACGGACCAAGGAGUCUAACAUGUGUGCGAGUCAAUGGGCGAACUAAACCCACAGGCGCAAUGAAAGUGACAGGCCCGCCGGCGCGCCGCGUCGUUCCAUGUCGCGUGCGCCGGCGCCGGGGCCGAUCCCCCGCCGGCUGCGCCCGCCGGCCAACCCCCGUGAGGGGGCGUCCUUGGAAGCGCAUAAGCGUGAGAUACCCUGCCCCGCAGGGGGGGCGCAGGCCCGGGGACUUACCAGACACCGCCAGGCCGCCGCUCAGCGGGCGCCGGCCAUCACGCGUGCCGUCGGCAAGUACCACGAGCAGGCAUGUUGGGACCCGAAAGAUGUUGAACUAUGCCUGGCCAGGAUGAAGCCAGAGGAAACUCUGGUGGAGGUCGGNAGGGUUUCUGACGUGCAAAUCGAUCGUCUGAGCUGGGUAUAGGGGCGAAAGACUAAUCGAACCAUCUAGUAGCUGGUUCCCUCUGAAGUUUCCCUCAGGAUAGCUGGAACACGAGGAGAUGAAUUUCAUCCGGUAAAGCGAAUGAUUAGAGGUCUUGGGGACGAAACGUCCUCAACCUAUUCUCAAACUUUAAAUGGGUGAGAUGCCGAGCUUGCUUGCAUGGUGAAGCUCCGGCGACUAAUCUAUGUGUACCUAGUGGGCCAUUUUUGGUAAGCAGAACUGGCGCUGUGGGAUGAACCAAACGUCGAGUUAAGGGGCCUAAAUGAAUGCCCAUUCAGAUCCCAUCGAAAGGCGUUGGUUGCUAUAGACAGCAGGACGGUGGCCAUGGAAGUUGGAAUCCGCUAAGGAGUGUGUAACAACUCACCUGCCGAAGCAACUAGCCCUGAAAAUGGUAUGGCGCUCGAGCAUUCUCUCGAUACUCGACCGCCGGGGCACUAGCGGCCACGCUCCCGAGGCGAGGUCUCGAAGCCCCGGUGAGUAAGAGGGUCGCAGUGGUGAGCGCUGAAGGGGUCCGGCGUGAGCCGGCCUGGAGCCGCCACUGGUGCAGAUCUUGGUGGUAGUAGCAAAUAUUCGAGAGAGACUCCCUUGAAGACCGAGGUGGAGAAGGGUUCCAUGUGAACAUCAGUUGGACAUGGGUUAGUCGCUCCUAAGCCCAAGGCUAAGGCCUGAUCCCACGCUAGCGGCAACGGCCAACGAACGCGGCGGCGGCGGCGGGGAAGCACCCCCCAAGAACACCUCGCUCUGCGUUGCGUUGCCCGGGGAUCAGUGGCGAAAGGGAAUACGGUAAUUAUUCCGUAACCAGGACUCGGACACCGAGCAGGCGCAGAACGUCCCCAUGCAUGCGGGUGUCUGUGCCCUGCGGAGGAACCCGGUAACGGGAACCAGCUCGCGUCCACCGGCGGUGGUCCGGGAAAGAGUUUUCUUUUCUGUUUAAGGCGCCGUGACCCUGGAAGCCAUUGGCCGAGAGAAAGGGUGUUGGUAACACGGUUUGCCGUAGAGCGCCGCGAUUCUUG
Molecule: ribosomal RNA, 2183 nt
Filed under: Spinastacoides insignis
Lineage: Eukaryota; Metazoa; Arthropoda; Malacostraca; Decapoda; Parastacidae
Description: eukaryotic LSU rRNA
Rfam family: Eukaryotic large subunit ribosomal RNA
Source: RNAcentral